UUAGUACAACAUUAUCCUGAAAUGGGGUCUCAGAAUGGCUGUGUUUGUUUUAAUCAUAAGCUACAAUGAACUCACACAUUUCCUAUACAGCUCUGUAAUUAAAAGUAAUGCAUUACACAGUUCUUGUGCAUACGAAAGUAUGCCAUCUAAGGCUUUCUGACCCCACUUUAUUGUUCCAGGUGUUAUGUAAAGGUGUAUUAAAAACUGACCUUUGAGUUUGCAAGGACAUGACGAGAAAGUCUCUUGACAAUGGCAUUAAAUAGUCUCAUGGAGAAAAAGACAUGAUUUUCAUCAAUUAUAAUCAUGUUUUAGUAUUUAUCAGUCUUUUCAUCCAUCUGCAACUUUCAGGUGCAGUUGGAAAAAAUCACUGUUUGACUGGUGAGCCUAUUACUCUUGACUGUCCCUUCAAAGUCCCCAACGGUACUCGGCGCGAAAACGUCUCUGUGUUGUGGCAGUUUGAGGGUAGCAGAGCCCAGCUGAAUAAAAGCACCUUGUUUGAAUUCAAGGCUGGAAAUAUAACUCAGCAUUCACUAGGAUAUGAUGUGAACGUGAAUGAAUUACUAAAGGGAAAUGCCCCACUGCAUUUGGUCUGUCCAGCUGUGACUGAUGAGGGUCGCUUCAGCUGUGUCGUUCUGGUGAAACCAGAGAACUACGCGACGACAGUCACCCUUCAUGUGUCAGCUCGACCCACACUGUCGCUAACAGAACAUGCCACAGUGCUUAAUGGGCAGAAGACGACCUUGUCCUGUGAAAUCACAGGUUUCUAUCCUGAGCACCUGGAGAUCCAGUGGCUGAGGCAGCUUGGCCACAAGAAUGAACCUGUGGAGGUGGACGUGUGCACUGAAUCCCCUAUGCCCAACCCAGACCACACCUACAGCCAGAAGAGCCAUAUGACCAUUCAGGGGAACAAGACCGAAAACCAUGGGGCUGUUUACAUCUGUCAGAUCAAGCACAGGUCCUUCAACACGCCUCAAAGCAAAACUGUCCGACUGAGCGUUGUUGAGACGCCUCAGAACCCAGUUGUACUCAUAGCUGUAACAGUGGUGUCCAGUCUCGUCCUAGUGUCGUUAAUAUUAGGAGCAGCUGUGAUCGGGUACUUAUACCUUCACAAAGUGCCACCCAGCAUAUCUGACAUCAACACUCCCUCUGUCAUCUAUGCCAACACUCGUGCAGACAUCAAAUGCACGAUCAGCCGAGUGAACCCCAAGUAUGUGAACGUGCAGUGGUACAUGGUGCUCCCCCAUGGUCCAGGGAACCAUGACCCACCAUGGGGCGCCCUGAACACAGUCUCUCUGGAGCCCCUGGAGGGCCAGGCCCUGUUUAGUGAGUCAGGGGAGAGAAAGACCCUGUCUUUGGAGGACCUAACGGAACACUCGCGGCUUCACUUGGACGACACACGCCUGGUGUCUGUCCUCUCGCUCUGCCCAACGGUCAGCGAUGACGGAGGCAGGUACAGGUGUGUGGUGACCUACAAAGGUCAGACCUACACCAGAGAGACGACGCUGAGCGUUAAAACACAGCCAUCCUUCCUGCAAAUCUCCAGCGCACCCCAGAUCCCGGUGCUGGGACAGCAGCUGGUGCUGUGCUGCCGCAUGGAGCGCUUCUACCCGGCCCAGGUGCAGCUGGAAUGGUGGGGCCCUGGCGGGGAGCGACUCCUGGGGCCCGUGGUCCAGUACGGCCCCUUCUCCGACUACCAGGGGCUGCACAGCGUGUGGAGCACCACGGAGCUGACCGUCACCACCAUGGAGGAGGGGCUAGUGUACACGUGCCGUGCGUACCACAGCAGCUUUCCUGAGCCAGGCUACCAGGACCUCCCCUACCGCGUUAACCUGAAAGGCACUCCCCCAACAUUGAAGUUCAUCAAGUGUGACCCCGCCCGGCCUCAGGUGGGUCAGGAGUGCUCGCUGAGCCUCUGUGUGGAGGACUUCAGCCCAAACGCGCUCUCGGUCUCCUGGUUCAGGAAUGGACAGCCCGUGCCCACCGGCGUCUUCAACUCCCCGGCCAGCCUGAACCCCAGCGGCUUUUUCUGCCAGUGGGCCUUCCUGAGGCUGGUGCCCACUCCACAGGACCUGGGCGCGGUCUACCUGUGCCAGGUGAGGCACAGUGCCCUGGAGCAGCCGGAGGAGAGGAGCUACACCUUGUCUAACAUGACACUCGAACAGCUGGAGUAAUACUUCCCUUACACACAGGGCAGAAUGUUGUAAAUAAUUGUGUCAGGAAGCCUCACACAUUGCCAGAUAGCUACUCAGGCAUGAUAUUGUAUGCAUGAGUUUUAUGGUUCCUUGACUGAUGUAUAUAUAGUCUUAUUGUCUGUCCCAGAAUGAGUUGCGUGUGUGUUGCAUGUGUGUUUUCGUGUGUAUAUUCGGUCUGCUCCAUUGAUAAGCAACUAUGUACAAAACAGAGCGUUUCGCACCAAUCAAAUGAUCUGGACGGGCUUUAUUCGAUGAUGGACAGAUGAACAACUGUGCCUAGUCUAUCAUGUCACCUAAGCUUGCUUGUGUUUAUUUGUGUCUGUUGUGCUGACAGUGAAAUAACUUUAAAAAACGAUUGAAAACAAAAUGAAACUAAAACAGGGAGAAGAAGGACGUUUUGACUCUUCUCCCUACAGGAUUCAUGGUAGGCUGUUUUGUUGCUCUCAUUGGUCUAUCCAAUUAAGAUCAGAGGCAUUUUUUCCCCUGUAUCGAUUGAAACAUGUCCCAUAAUCACAUCCCAAUCAAGCAAUAUCAGACUC
Molecule: non-coding RNA, 2731 nt
Organism: Alosa sapidissima (American shad)
Lineage: Eukaryota; Metazoa; Chordata; Actinopteri; Clupeiformes; Clupeidae
Source: the annotation of a RefSeq genome assembly